RNAcentral lists this transfer RNA (60 nucleotides) under Urocitellus parryii (Arctic ground squirrel). Its description in RNAcentral is "Spermophilus parryii (Arctic ground squirrel) tRNA". It matches the Rfam family "tRNA", at positions 7 to 64 of the family's 71-position model. Rfam says of the family: Transfer RNA (tRNA) molecules are approximately 80 nucleotides in length. Their secondary structure includes four short double-helical elements and three loops (D, anti-codon, and T loops). Further hydrogen bonds mediate the characteristic L-shaped molecular structure. tRNAs have two regions of fundamental functional importance: the anti-codon, which is responsible for specific mRNA codon recognition, and the 3' end, to which the tRNAs corresponding amino acid is attached (by aminoacyl-tRNA synthetases). tRNAs cope with the degeneracy of the genetic code in two manners: having more than one tRNA (with a specific anti-codon) for a particular amino acid; and 'wobble' base-pairing, i.e. permitting non-standard base-pairing at the 3rd anti-codon position. Lineage: Eukaryota; Metazoa; Chordata; Mammalia; Rodentia; Sciuridae. The record is from Rfam by way of RNAcentral. RNAcentral also lists the same sequence under 1 other name.
GUAGCUCAGUUGGUGGAGUGUUUGCCUUGCAUGCACAAGGCCCUGGGUUCAAACCUCAGC